Molecule: ribosomal RNA, 253 nt
Filed under: uncultured bacterium
Lineage: Bacteria
Description: partial 16S ribosomal RNA
Rfam family: Bacterial small subunit ribosomal RNA
Source: RNAcentral
UACGUAGGGGGCAAGCGUUGUCCGGAUUUAUUGGGCGUAAAGAGCGUGUAGGCGGCCUGGUAGGUCAGCUGUGAAAACUCGAGGCUCAACCUCGAGACGCCGGUGGAAACCGUAAGGCUAGAGUCCGGAAGAGGAGAGUGGAAUUCCUGGUGUAGCGGUGAAAUGCGCAGAUAUCAGGAGGAACACCCGUGGCGAAAGCGGCUCUCUGGGACGGUACUGACGCUGAGACGCGAAAGCGUGGGGAGCAAACAGG